RNAcentral lists this long non-coding RNA (360 nucleotides) under Trifolium pratense (red clover). RNAcentral describes it as "long non-coding RNA (TPRA_LNC001002)". The record is from RNAcentral. Lineage: Eukaryota; Viridiplantae; Streptophyta; Magnoliopsida; Fabales; Fabaceae.
UAAAGUUAAGGAAUAGUAAAAGCACACUGACUUUUAACAAUUAUAUUGCACUAACCGAGAGUUCUUUAAUCUGAUGAAGCAUAGUUGAGUUGUUCACUAUUGGUGAUGCUCUUAGUGUUCGCUGGGAAUCACUGCAAGAAGGCGAGUAACGUGCGUGACUACUCAAAAGCUUGAAUUUGAAGCUUUACAAAAUUCAUGGCGACAUCACAUUGGUAUAUGAGAAACCUAGAGGGAACACAUAUCCAAACCGGCACUCUUUCCUUCUACAUGCCAAACAAUUGCUGAAAUUUAUGACUUUUGAUUACUAUUUUUCUUAUGCUUGAUACAUGAUUGCUUUGUUUUGAAUUAUCUUAUUGGUGU